Molecule: ribosomal RNA, 379 nt
Filed under: Heterosigma akashiwo
Lineage: Eukaryota; Raphidophyceae; Chattonellales; Chattonellaceae
Description: partial Bacterial large subunit ribosomal RNA
Rfam family: Bacterial large subunit ribosomal RNA
Source: RNAcentral
CCGAACCGACCCCCUUUGAAAAGGUAGGGGAUGACUUGUGGAUCGGAGUGAAAGGCUAAUCAAGCUCGGAGAUAGCUGGUUCUCCUCGAAAGCUAUUUAGGUAGCGCCUCAUGUAUCACUCUGGGGGGUAGAGCACUGUUUCGGCUAGGGGGUCAUCCCGACUUACCAAACCGAUGCAAACUCCGAAUACCGAUGAGUGAUAUCCGGGAGACAGACGGCGGGUGCUAACGUCCGUCGUCAAGAGGGAAACAACCCAGACCGCCAGCUAAGGUCCCAAAGUCAUGGUUAAGUGGGAAACGAUGUGGGAAGGCACAGACAGCCAGGAUGUUGGCUUAGAAGCAGCCAUCAUUUAAAGAAAGCGUAACAGCUCACUGGUCUA